AGAGUUUGAUUCUGGCUCAGAACGAACGCUGGCAGCGUGGAUUAGGCAUGCAAGUCGAACGAGAAUCUCCGGUUUCAAUCCUUCGGGGAAGUUACUGGAGAGGAGAGUGGCGAAAGGGUGAGUAACGCGUGGGUAACCUACCGCUAAGCUGGGGAUAACUCACCGAAAGGUGGGCUAAUACCGAAUGUGGUUAUUCGUCGCAUGGCGAAUGGACUAAAGAUGGGCUAAUCUUCGGAUCCUGUCACUUAGCGAGGGGCCCGCGUCCUAUCAGCUUGUUGGUAAGGUAACGGCUUACCAAGGCUUACGGGUAGCUGGUCUGAGAGGAUGAUCAGCCACACUGGGACUGAGACACUGCCCAGACUCCUACGGGAGGCUGCAGUCGAGAAUCAUAGACAAUGCGCGAAAGCGUGAUCUUGCGACGCUGCGUGGAGGAUGACGGCCUUCGGGUUGUAAACUCCUGUCGUUUGGGAACAACAACGCUACGGUUAAUACCCGUAGCGCCUGAUAGUACCAAAGGAGGAAGCCACGGCUAACUCUGUGCCAGCAGCCGCGGUAACACAGAGGUGGCGAGCGUUGUUCGGAUUUACUGGGCGUAAAGCGUGCGUAGGUGGUUUUGUGUGUCGGGUGUGAAAUCCCACGGCUCACCCGUGGAAUUGCAUUCGAAACUGCAGGACUAGAGUGCGGGAGAGGAAAGCGGAAUUCUUGGUGUAGCGGUGGAAUGCGUUGAUAUCAAGAAGAACACCGGUGGCGAAGGCGGCUUUCUGGAACGCUACUGACACUGAGGCACGAAAGCUGGGGGAGCGAACAGGAUUAGAUACCCUGGUAGUCCCAGCCGUAAACGUUGUCUACUUGGUGUGGGGGGAUUUGACCCCCCCCGUGCCGAAGCUAACGCGAUAAGUAGACCGCCUGGGGAGUACGGCCGCAAGGCUAAAACUCAAAGAAAUUGACGGGGGCCCGCACAAGCGGAGGAGCAUGUGGCUUAAUUCGAUGCAACGCGAAGAACCUUACCAGGGCUUGACAUGUAACUGCAUUCCCCUUGAAAGGGGGGAAGCCUUCGAGGGUGUUACACAGGUGCUGCAUGGCUGUCGUCAGUUCGUGCCGUGAGGUGUUGGGUUAAGUCCCGCAACGAACGCAACCCCUAUGUCUAGUUGCCACCGCAGGUGAUGAGCCUGCGAGCACUCUAUACAGACUGCCCGUGUAAGCGGGAGGAAGGUGGGGAUGACGUCAAGUCAGUAUGGCCCUUAUGCCCUGGGCUGCACACGUGCUACAAUGGUCGGUACAAUGGGAUGCAAUACCGCGAGGUGGAGCCAAUCCCCAAAGCCGGCCCCAGUUCGGAUUGGAGUCUGCAAUUCGACUCCAUGAAGCCGGAUUCGCUAGUAAUGGUGCAUCAGCUACGGCACCGUGAAUACGUUCCCGGGCCUUGUACACACCGCCCGUCACAUCAUGAAAGCCGUCUGCACCCGAAGUCGCUGAUCCAACCUGCUUCUCGUAGGAGGAAGGCGCCGAAGGUGUGGGUGGUGAUUGGGAUGAAGUCGUAACAAGGUA
RNAcentral lists this ribosomal RNA (1545 nucleotides) under metagenome. Its description in RNAcentral is "bacterial SSU rRNA". It matches the Rfam family "Bacterial small subunit ribosomal RNA". The record is from RNAcentral.